UGGGGGUUCGGCUAACGGCAGGCCGCUGGGUUUUGGUCCCGGCUAUGGGGGUUCGAAUCCUCCACCCUCAG
Molecule: transfer RNA, 71 nt
Filed under: Micromonosporaceae bacterium
Lineage: Bacteria; Bacillati; Actinomycetota; Actinomycetes; Micromonosporales; Micromonosporaceae
Description: tRNA-Gln
Rfam family: tRNA
About the family: Transfer RNA (tRNA) molecules are approximately 80 nucleotides in length.
Source: RNAcentral